This 752-nucleotide ribosomal RNA is filed under the name Sphingobacterium sp. RNAcentral's name for it is "bacterial SSU rRNA". It matches the Rfam family "Bacterial small subunit ribosomal RNA", at positions 76 to 822 of the family's 1533-position model. Lineage: Bacteria; Pseudomonadati; Bacteroidota; Sphingobacteriia; Sphingobacteriales; Sphingobacteriaceae. The record is from RNAcentral.
AAGCUUGCUUAGAUUUAGUGAGAGUGGCGCACGGGUGCGUAACGCGUGAGCAACCUACCCAUAUCAGGGGGAUAGCCCGGAGAAAUCCGGAUUAAGACCGCAUAACACAACGACUCGGCAUCGAGAUGUUGUUAAAUAUUUAUAGGAUAUGGAUGGGCUCGCGUGACAUUAGCUAGUUGGUAAGGUAACGGCUUACCAAGGCUACGAUGUCUAGGGGCUCUGAGAGGAGAAUCCCCCACACUGGUACUGAGACACGGACCAGACUCCUACGGGAGGCAGCAGUAAGGAAUAUUGGUCAAUGGAGGGAACUCUGAACCAGCCAUGCCGCGUGCAGGAUGACUGCCCUAUGGGUUGUAAACUGCUUUUGUCCAGGAAUAACCACCACUACGUGUAGUGGCUUGAAUGUACUGGAAGAAUAAGGAUCGGCUAACUCCGUGCCAGCAGCCGCGGUAAUACGGAGGAUCCGAGCGUUAUCCGGAUUUAUUGGGUUUAAAGGGUGCGUAGGCGGCUCAUUAAGUCAGGGGUGAAAGACGGCAGCUCAACUGUCGCAGUGCCUUUGAUACUGAUGAGCUUGAAUGUGGUUGAAGAUGGCGGAAUGAGACAAGUAGCGGUGAAAUGCAUAGAUAUGUCUCAGAACUCCGAUUGCGAAGGCAGCUGUCUAAGUCAUUAUUGACGCUGAUGCACGAAAGCGUGGGGAUCGAACAGGAUUAGAUACCCUGGUAGUCCACGCCCUAAACGAUGAUAACUCGAUG